Molecule: ribosomal RNA, 441 nt
Filed under: uncultured Planctomycetota bacterium
Lineage: Bacteria; Pseudomonadati; Planctomycetota
Description: bacterial SSU rRNA
Rfam family: Bacterial small subunit ribosomal RNA
Source: RNAcentral
CCUACGGGAGGCAGCAGCAACGAAUCUUCCGCAAUGGGCGCAAGCCUGACGGAGCAAUGCCGCGUGUGGGAUGAAGUGCCUACGGCAUGUAAACCACUGUCAGAGGGCAGAAACACUGAUCGCCCUCAGAGGAAGUGGCGACUAACUCUGUGCCAGCAGUCGCGGUAAUACAGAGGCCACAAGCGUUAGUCGGAAUCACUGGGCUUAAAGGGUGCGUAGGCGGUCUCUCAAGCGUCCUGUGAAAGCCUCCGGCUCAACCGGAGAACAGCAGGGCGAACUGGGAGACUCGAGGUUGGUAGGGGCUCACAGAACUGUCGGUGGACCGGUGAAAUGGGUAGAGAUCGACAGGAAUGCCGAUGGCGAAGGCGGUGAGCUGGGCCAAUCCUGACGCUGAGGCACGAAAGCGUGGGGAGCAAACAGGAUUAGAUACCCUGGUAGUCC